GUGUUCACUUCAGCUACACAUAUGCAAAAAUUGGAAUGAUACAGAGGAGAUUAGCAUGGUCCCUGCACAAGGAUGAUAAGUAAAUGGAGGACCAGAGCUGUCCAUUG
Molecule: small nuclear RNA, 107 nt
Organism: Jaculus jaculus (lesser Egyptian jerboa)
Lineage: Eukaryota; Metazoa; Chordata; Mammalia; Rodentia; Dipodidae
Source: Ensembl